RNAcentral lists this ribosomal RNA (497 nucleotides) under uncultured bacterium. RNAcentral's name for it is "partial 16S ribosomal RNA". It matches the Rfam family "Bacterial small subunit ribosomal RNA", at positions 28 to 507 of the family's 1533-position model. The record is from RNAcentral.
GAUGAACGCUGGCGGCGUGCCUAAUACAUGCAAGUCGAGCGAACAGACGAGGAGCUUGCUCCCCUGACGUUAGCGGCGGACGGGUGAGUAACACGUGGAUAACCUACCUAUAAGACUUGGAUAACUUCGGGAAACCGGUGCUAAUACCGGAUAAUAUAUUGAACCGCAUGGUUCAAUAGUGAAAGACGGUUUUGCUGUCACUUAUAGAUGGAUCCGCGCCGCAUUAGCUAGUUGGUAAGGUAACGGCUUACCAAGGCAACGAUGCGUAGCCGACCUGAGAGGGUGAUCGGCCACACUGGAACUGAGACACGGUCCAGACUCCUACGGGAGGCAGCAGUAGGGAAUCUUCCGCAAUGGGCGAAAGCCUGACGGAGCAACGCCGCGUGAGUGAUGAAGGUCUUCGGAUCGUAAAACUCUGUUAUUAGGGAAGAACAAAUGUGUAAGUAACUAUGCACGUCUUGACGGUACCUAAUCAGAAAGCCACGGCUAACUACGUG